Molecule: ribosomal RNA, 496 nt
Filed under: uncultured bacterium
Lineage: Bacteria
Description: partial 16S ribosomal RNA
Rfam family: Bacterial small subunit ribosomal RNA
Source: RNAcentral
GAUGAACGCUGGCGGCGUGCCUAAUACAUGCAAGUCGAGCGAACAGACGAGGAGCUUGCUCCUUCGACGUUAGCGGCGGACGGGUGAGUAACACGUAGGUAACCUACCUAUAAGACUGGGAUAACUUCGGGAAACCGGAGCUAAUACCGGAUAAUAUUUCGAACCGCAUGGUUCGAUAGUGAAAGAUGGCUUUGCUAUCACUUAUAGAUGGACCUGCGCCGUAUUAGCUAGUUGGUAAGGUAACGGCUUACCAAGGCAACGAUACGUAGCCGACCUGAGAGGGUGAUCGGCCACACUGGAACUGAGACACGGUCCAGACUCCUACGGGAGGCAGCAGUAGGGAAUCUUCCGCAAUGGGCGAAAGCCUGACGGAGCAACGCCGCGUGAGUGAUGAAGGUCUUCGGAUCGUAAAACUCUGUUAUUAGGGAAGAACAAACGUGUAAGUAACUGUGCACGUCUUGACGGUACCUAAUCAGAAAACCACGGCUAACUACGU